This is a long non-coding RNA of Rhinolophus ferrumequinum (greater horseshoe bat), 673 nucleotides long. RefSeq lists it as uncharacterized. The record is from RefSeq and is a predicted model, not a curated record. The transcript is spliced from 3 exons. Lineage: Eukaryota; Metazoa; Chordata; Mammalia; Chiroptera; Rhinolophidae.
AAAUAGCAACGAAGGCCUCAGAGGUGGAAGUGCAGCCUUGAGAAACUUCAGCCAGCUCGGGACAGCUCUGCCAGCAUGGCUGAUUGUACCCCUCAGGCUGUAGAGUAAUGACAUCCCUCCCACGACGGGAACACUGACGCUCAGAGAUGUGAAAUAACUUGCCUGAGGACGCACAACCAGAAAACAGAGGAACCAGGAUUUAUACCCCGUGUGGCCAGCUCCGAAACCUAGACUAUGGCAGCCGCGACUGGAGUUCUCAAGUGAAAAUCAACAUGAUGAGGUAAAGAUCAACUGAGAAAGAAGACAAGAGAAUGAUCAAGUAGGCAGACUGACUCACUCUGGAGCCCUGGACCACCAAAGAUGACCCCGCACCCACUCCAUAGGGGAGACCUGCCCCCUUGUCAUCUUUAGAGGCAGAUUCCAUCCCAAGGGAGGAAUGAGGGGAAGAAGAUAGGCCAUGCAGGCCCCUUUUUCUCUCCCAUUUAGGUAAUUCACACCACCUUUCCAGGGGAGGACCGAAGGUGGGAUAGAGGCCAAUCAUAUUUGGGGAAAACCCCGAGUCUUGGAAACAAAAAGUACGCAAGAACCAUUCUCAGCAUUUGCUGCCUAACAAACGCUAUAUGCAAAAUGGAUUGCAUUCGUAAUUCCCCCACAAGAAUUUGGAGGGUACAUC